AUGAUGCAGCAGCUGCAGCCGACGCGGAUGCACUGGGCGAGGGCCGUCCCCUCCGACUUCGGCGGCCAAGCCCCCGCCCCUCGCAGCGGGCACACGGCGGUCGCCAUCGGCGGGUCCAAGGUCGUCGUCUUCGGCGGGUUCGCCGACAAGCGCUUCCUCGCCGACAUCGCCGUCUACGACGUCGAGAACAGGCUAUGGUACACGCCGGAGUGCAGCGGCAGCGGCCCGGACGGGCAGCCAGGCCCCAGCCCGAGGGCCUUCCACGUCGCCGUGGUCAUCGACUGCAACAUGUUUAUCUUCGGCGGCCGCUCCGGGGGCAAGAGGGAUUCAGCGACCACUAAGCACUCUCAAUAUGUCUCGGUGCUUCUUUUGCGUUCAGACAUUUGGCAGUGGUCGGAGAUGACUGGCUUUGGCGAUUUGCCAUCUCCCCGGGAGUUUGCUGCCGCAUCAGCCAUAGGAAACAGAAAAAUUGUCAUGUAUGGUGGUUGGGAUGGCAAAAAGUGGCUGUCUGAUGUAUAUGUCAUGGACACAAUGUCACUUGAGUGGACAGAACUAGCAGUUACUGGAUCAGCGCCACCUCCAAGAUGCGGACAUUCUGCCACUAUGAUUGAGAAGAGGCUGCUUAUAUUUGGAGGCAGAGGUGGAACUGGGCCGAUAAUGGGUGAUCUCUGGGCUUUAAAGGGUAUCACUGAAGAAGAUAAUGAGACACCAGGAUGGACACAAUUAAAGCUGCCAGGUCAAUCUCCCUCUGCACGAUGUGGCCAUUCAGUGACUUCUGGUGGACCUUAUCUCUUGCUAUUUGGUGGACAUGGAACUGGCGGUUGGCUAAGUAGAUAUGAUGUGUACUACAACGAAUGUGUUAUUUUAGACAGGGUCUCUGUUCAAUGGAAGCGCUUACCAACAAGUAAUGAGCCACCCCCUCCUCGGGCAUAUCAUUCUAUGACUUGCAUAGGGCCUCGGUUUCUUUUAUUUGGUGGCUUUGAUGGAAAGAAUACCUUUGGCGAUUUGUGGUGGCUUGUUCCUGAAGAUGAUCCUAUUGCCAAGCGGGACUUGGUUCCUAGUGUUGGUUCAGACAGCAACCAUAGCACUGUGACUGGUGAUGCCCAACAGUCUGCAUUGAAGGAAUCAGAAUCACAAUCUGAUGAAUCUCCGAUGUUGGAGUUGGCCAAACGAUUGGGGAUUCCACUUUAUGUAGAACCUUCAGCAAGUUUUGUUGACGAAAUCAACGAUAAAGAACUAAUGGAAUUAUCAUCUAGGCUCAUUGGUGAAUCACUUCCUACCACCGACCAGCUUGCAUGUAUUCAGGCACUUCGUGAUCAUUGGAGAAGUUCUCCAUCCAGCUCAAUACAGCUCCAGGAGCUAGGCCCUCUGCUGAGGGACUAUCAACGUCUCAUUAUUCGCCGCUUUGUGGAAAGCCCAUCCCCGGCAUUCCUUGAAAGGGAAGAUCGCCGCCUCUUCCAUUUGAAAAAUGCCUCGCAGUUGCGCAUGGAUGACAUCCCCAUCUUGCUGGGCGAGUAUAGAACUCUGCUUUCCACCUGA
Molecule: ribosomal RNA, 1539 nt
Filed under: Triticum aestivum (bread wheat)
Lineage: Eukaryota; Viridiplantae; Streptophyta; Magnoliopsida; Poales; Poaceae
Description: partial small subunit ribosomal RNA
Source: RNAcentral